GAAGUUCGAGAUCUCUUCCAAUUCAGAGACGGGGUUUCACCAUGUUGCCCAGGCUGGUCUAGAAGUCCUGGGCUGAAGCGAUCCGACCGCCUCCCAAAGUGCUGGGAUUACAGGAGUGAGCCAUCUCGCCCAGCCGAAAAAGUGUUUUUUGAUCUUAAAAUCUUACGUGGAAUGAAAGUGAACAAUGAGGCAAUGAAAGUGGAAGUUUCUCUUAAGCAAACACAGAAGUCAACCAUUCCAGCUUUCUAAGAUGGAGAUAAGGAACUUGUGAACCUCUGCCUAGAUUUCAG
This 290-nucleotide long non-coding RNA is filed under the name Homo sapiens (human). Its description in RNAcentral is "HSALNT0339113". The record is from RNAcentral. Lineage: Eukaryota; Metazoa; Chordata; Mammalia; Primates; Hominidae.